Molecule: ribosomal RNA, 207 nt
Filed under: uncultured bacterium
Lineage: Bacteria
Description: partial 16S ribosomal RNA
Rfam family: Bacterial small subunit ribosomal RNA
Source: RNAcentral
CUCGUAGGCGGUUUGUUACGUCCGCUGUGAAAUCCCAGGGCUUAACCCUGGGCUUGCAGUGGAUACGGGCAGACUAGAGGUAGGUAGGGGAGAAUGGAAUUCCCGGUGUAGCGGUGAAAUGCGCAGAUAUCGGGAGGAACACCGGUGGCGAAGGCGGUUCUCUGGGCCUUACCUGACGCUGAGGAGCGAAAGCGUGGGGAGCGAACA